Molecule: ribosomal RNA, 507 nt
Filed under: uncultured bacterium
Lineage: Bacteria
Description: partial 16S ribosomal RNA
Rfam family: Bacterial small subunit ribosomal RNA
Source: RNAcentral
GACGAACGCUGGCGGCGUGCCUAAUACAUGCAAGUCGAACGCAUUUUCUUUCACCGUAGCUUGCUACACCGAAAGAAAAUGAGUGGCGAACGGGUGAGUAACACGUGGGUAACCUGCCCAUCAGCGGGGGAUAACACUUGGAAACAGGUGCUAAUACCGCAUAAUUCCAUUUACCGCAUGGUAAAUGGAUGAAAGGCGCUUUUGCGUCACUGAUGGAUGGACCCGCGGUGCAUUAGCUAGUUGGUGGGGUAACGGCCUACCAAGGCUGCGAUGCAUAGCCGAGCUGAGAGGGUGAUCGUCGACACUGGGACUGAGACACGGCCCAGACUCCUACAGGAGGCAGCAGUAGGGAACCUUCGGCAAUGGACGCAAGUCGGACCGAGCAACGCGGCGUGAGUGAAGAAGGAUUUCGGAUCGUAAAACUCUGUUAUUAGAGAAGAACAAGGAUGAGAGUGGAAAGUUCAUCCCUUGACGGUAUCUAACCAGAAAGCCACGGCUAACUACGUG